UAUCUCUCCAUACGGGGAAGGAUGAGAAGCUUCGACUAAGGUUCGAUUCGAGCGCAGCGAGAAAGCGUUGCCGCAGGCAACGACCCGAAGGGUGAGGAGCGGAGCGACGAAUAAUCCUUCCCUCACCACCA
Molecule: small RNA, 131 nt
Filed under: Salmonella enterica
Lineage: Bacteria; Pseudomonadati; Pseudomonadota; Gammaproteobacteria; Enterobacterales; Enterobacteriaceae
Also listed under: 1 other name
Description: RtT sRNA
Rfam family: RtT RNA
About the family: This family represents a bacterial cis-regulatory element known as RtT RNA. The exact function of RtT is unknown although it is thought that it may be involved in changing the cellular response in relation to amino acid starvation.
Source: RNAcentral